AGAAAUCAACGCUGGCGGCGUGCCUAACACAUGCAAGUCGAACGAGAAAGUGGGAGCAAUCCCACGAGUAAAGUGGCGCACGGGUGAGUAACACGUGACUAACCUACCCUUGAGUGGGGGAUAACCUAGGGAAACCUGGGCUAAUACCGCAUAAUACCUACGGGUCAAAGGAGCAAUUCGCUUUAGGAGGGGGUCGCGGCAGAUUAGUUAGUUGGCGGGGUAAUGGCCCACCAAGACAGUGAUCUGUA
RNAcentral lists this ribosomal RNA (248 nucleotides) under uncultured bacterium. Its description in RNAcentral is "partial small subunit ribosomal RNA". It matches the Rfam family "Bacterial small subunit ribosomal RNA", at positions 32 to 285 of the family's 1533-position model. The record is from RNAcentral.